AUGAAAAGGUUUUCAAUAAUUGUAUUUUUGAAGGUUGAUAAUGAAGUUGGCGAGAAAGUUAACGGUGAACCUAUUGCACCAGGAACUGUUGCUUCCACUGAUGUUGUAGCUACUAUUAUAGUUUCAAACUGUGGUAAUUCCAGAGUGGUUUUGUGCUAUGUUAAGGAACCAAUGCCUUUAUCUGUGGAUCAUAAACCAAAUCUAGAUGAUGAAUAUGCAAGGAUCAAGGUAAGCCAACACAUACAUCAUCAUCCAUUCAAAUUAAAAAGUACGAUAAAGAAGAACAAGUCAGGACUAAUUUGA
Non-coding RNA from Vicia faba (fava bean), 303 nucleotides. The record is from the annotation of a GenBank genome assembly. Lineage: Eukaryota; Viridiplantae; Streptophyta; Magnoliopsida; Fabales; Fabaceae.